This 254-nucleotide ribosomal RNA is filed under the name uncultured bacterium. RNAcentral describes it as "partial 16S ribosomal RNA". It matches the Rfam family "Bacterial small subunit ribosomal RNA", at positions 524 to 776 of the family's 1533-position model. The record is from RNAcentral.
UACGUAGGGUGCGAGCGUUGUCCGGAAUUAUUGGGCGUAAAGAGCUCGUAGGCGGCUUAGUAAGUCGGGUGUGAAACCUCCAGGCUCAACCUGGAGACGCCACCCGAUACUGCUGUGGCUAGAGUCCGGUAGGGGAGCGUGGAAUUCCUGGUGUAGCGGUGAAAUGCGCAGAUAUCAGGAGGAACACCAGCGGCGAAGGCGGCGCUCUGGGCCGGUACUAACGCUGAGGAGCGAAAGCGUGGGGAGCAAACAGG